AACGAACGCUGGCGGCGUGCCUAACACAUGCAAGUUGAGCGCGAAAGGGAGCAAUCCCCGGUAGAGCAGCGCACGGGUGAGUAACACGUGAGUAAUCUUCCUUCGUGUCUGGAAUAACCACUGGAAACGGUGGCUAAUACUCGAUAAGCCCACGAUCCCCUCGGGGAUUGAGGGAAAAGGGGGGCGCAAGCCUCUCGCACGAAGAUGAGCUCGCGGUCCAUUAGCUAGUUGGCGGGGUAACGGCCCACCAAGGCGAUGAUGGAUAGCUGGUCUGAGAGGACGAUCAGCCACACUGGGACUGAGACACGGCCCAGACUCCUACGGGAGGCAGCAGUGGGGAAUCUUGCGCAAUGGACGAAAGUCUGACGCAGCAACGCCGCGUGAGUGAUGAAGGUCUUUGGAUCGUAAAGCUCUUUCGGGAGGGAAGAAAUGGUUAUGCGCUAAUACCGCAUGGCCUUGACGGUACCUUCAGAAGAAGCACCGGCUAACUCUGUG
RNAcentral lists this ribosomal RNA (495 nucleotides) under uncultured organism. RNAcentral's name for it is "bacterial SSU rRNA". It matches the Rfam family "Bacterial small subunit ribosomal RNA", at positions 29 to 507 of the family's 1533-position model. The record is from RNAcentral.